This 497-nucleotide ribosomal RNA is filed under the name uncultured bacterium. RNAcentral's name for it is "partial 16S ribosomal RNA". It matches the Rfam family "Bacterial small subunit ribosomal RNA", at positions 28 to 507 of the family's 1533-position model. The record is from RNAcentral.
GACGAACGCUGGCGGCGUGCCUAAAACAUGCAAGUUGAGCGAUGAAGCUUGGUGCUUGCCCCAAUUUGAAGAGCAGCGAACGGGUGAGUAACGCGUGGGGAAUCUGCCUUUGAGCGGGGGACAACAUUUGGAAACGAAUGCUAAUACCGCAUAACAACUUUAAACAUAAGUUUUAAGUUUGAAAGAUGCAAUUGCAUCACUCAAAGAUGAUCCCGCGUUGUAUUAGCUAGUUGGUGAGGUAAAGGCUCACCAAGGCGAUGAUACAUAGCCGACCUGAGAGGGUGAUCGGCCACAUUGGGACUGAGACACGGCCCAAACUCCUACGGGAGGCAGCAGUAGGGAAUCUUCGGCAAUGGACGAAAGUCUGACCGAGCAACGCCGCGUGAGUGAAGAAGGUUUUCGGAUCGUAAAACUCUGUUGGUAGAGAAGAACGUUGGUGAGAGUGGAAAGCUCAUCAAGUGACGGUAACUACCCAGAAAGGGACGGCUAACUACGUG